AGGCGGAAUCGCUAGUAAUCGCGGAUCAGCAUGCCGCGGUGAAUACGUUCCCAGGCCUUGUACACACCGCCCGUCACACCAUGGGAGUUGGGUUCACCCGAAGGCGUUGCGCUAACUCGUAAGAGAGGCAGGCGACCACGGUGGGCUUAGCGACUGGGGUGAAGUCGUAACAAGGUAGCCGUAGGGGAACCUGCGGCUGGAUCACCUCCUUUCUAAGG
Molecule: ribosomal RNA, 218 nt
Filed under: Oxalobacteraceae bacterium
Lineage: Bacteria; Pseudomonadati; Pseudomonadota; Betaproteobacteria; Burkholderiales; Oxalobacteraceae
Description: partial 16S ribosomal RNA
Rfam family: Bacterial small subunit ribosomal RNA
Source: RNAcentral